RNAcentral lists this transfer RNA (67 nucleotides) under Desmognathus wrighti (pygmy salamander). RNAcentral's name for it is "tRNA-Gly". It matches the Rfam family "tRNA". Rfam says of the family: Transfer RNA (tRNA) molecules are approximately 80 nucleotides in length. Their secondary structure includes four short double-helical elements and three loops (D, anti-codon, and T loops). The record is from RNAcentral. Lineage: Eukaryota; Metazoa; Chordata; Amphibia; Caudata; Plethodontidae.
GUCUUUUUAGUAUAAAAAUAUAAAUGAUUUCCAAUUAUUAGAUCUUAGUUUAAUCUAAGAAAAGACA